Molecule: long non-coding RNA, 1552 nt
Organism: Seriola aureovittata
Lineage: Eukaryota; Metazoa; Chordata; Actinopteri; Carangiformes; Carangidae
Exons: 4
Source: RefSeq, a predicted model, not a curated record
GUAAAACCUCAGACGCUGUGGGACUUACAUACAGUACCGGGCAGUUGAUUUCUUUCUGAGUCAGUGGAUUUGGAUGAGAAGAAGUAAUGGUAGCUGGGGGCCCAGCAGGGGGAGCACUUAGGAUAGACAGACUCUUAGGAGAAGUAAGGAAGAAAUCCAGGAAGAGGAAGUGUUUUUAAGUGGGGGGUGUGGCCUGUGUGAGCCUCUUUGAGACCAUACGGUUAGUCCAGGUGAGUUGAAUGGUGUGGUGUUGGAGAGUAGAGGGGGGAGAGCACAGCCUAAUCCGGCGGGGGAGAGUUUAGCUCAAAAAGGCAUCUCUCCUUGACUCUACCUCCCUCAUUCAUACUUUCUCCAACUGUUUAGGAGUCAAAACAUGUUGGAAUGAUUCUGUUUCAAAAUAAAGAACAUCACUGAGAGCCGAGAACCAUCAUGACGUGCACCUCCACAAUGACACCAAACCAAGGUCUGGAUCUUUGGGGACACCUGCAACCUCUUGCAGCAAUGAUGGAAGCCCUGCACCACCUCCACACAUGAAGAUCUUCUCUUCCCAAACAUAGACACAGUGUCUUAUAUGAUAAUAUAGUAUUUUUUUAAUGUAACACUUGUGGCCAUAACAUUGUUCAGUCUUAUCAGCUCUUCCUUGUUCCCUACACCCUCACUGUCUUAUUACACUCUCUGCCCCAUGUCAGACAUACAAUCAGAUGACUUUUGGACUCCACUGUAGCUGUAACAAAUUCUCAAUAGUUUAAAACAUUAGAGUCCAUAUUUCAUAGUCCUCAGCCAUUAUAGUUUAUAUCAAUGUGUUGUUCCAACAGCAUCACUUAUUUAGAGGGAUACUGUUACUGGAGCAAAUAAAUAUUAACUGUCUCACACAUUAGGACUGAUGAAUUAUGAUUAUACUUGUUACUAAAAAUUCUGUUGCACUGUUGAUUCAACUACUUCUUUUUAUUAAGCAAACUUACAUAUGACAGUGAAAUUCAGCUUUAACCUCAUCCACAACUAUUUUUUGAUUUUAAAUAGUUACAGUUGAUUGUUAAUUAUACACUACUGUGACGGAGGCUUAGGUUAGUAGACUGGCUUCUCUAGUUUGUAAUCGCAGAGUAUGCGUCUGUUAGAACGCAGUCUAUAAAGUUCCCCCAAGACUUUAGUGGUGAAGAAUGAAGCAGGAGACAGUCAAUCCUCUUUAUGGUGCUUUAAUGGUGUAGACAGCAUACAGAUGUGUUGAAGGUGGGUGGUUGAUGUGUGUGGGUGUAUGUGGUUCUGAAAUAAACCAAACAAUAAAGCCAUUAAUAAACAACUCACAAUAAGCUUGACUAUAGCACACAAUCCGAAGUAAUGAUAUAAUGUAACUAGAAAAUUCCAGGGAAAUUUUGAGUGCCACGGGGGCUACUGCCGGGAUGAGUACAUGAUUUAUUUCCAGUGUUCAAAAGUCACCCUGAUCAUACUCUGGUUUUGAGAAAUGUCAAACAAUGUCACAUCCCUCCAUCAUGUAUUAUGUGGGAAAUAUCUCAUAUUCUGUGUUGCUUUUUUUAAUAAAACAAGAGGCAACAUG